RNAcentral lists this transfer RNA (71 nucleotides) under Heterocephalus glaber (naked mole-rat). It matches the Rfam family "tRNA". From Rfam's summary of the family: Transfer RNA (tRNA) molecules are approximately 80 nucleotides in length. The record is from Rfam by way of RNAcentral. Lineage: Eukaryota; Metazoa; Chordata; Mammalia; Rodentia; Bathyergidae.
AGGGAUGUAGCUCACUGGCAGAGCACUUGCUUUGCAUGCAUGAGGUUCUGGGUUUGAUCCCAGGAUCAUGA